UACGAGAGGUCCAAACGUUAUUCGGAAUCACUGGGCUUACAGAGUUCGUAGGCGGUCCAGAAAGUGGGGUGUGAAAGCCCUCGGCUUAACCGAGGAACUGCGCUCCAAACUACUGGGCUAGAGGAAGAUAGAGGUGAGCAGAACUGAUGGUGGAGCGGUGAAAUGCGUUGAUAUCAUCAGGAAUACCGGAGGCGAAGGCGGCUCACUGGGUCUUUUCUGACGCUGAGGAACGAAAGCCAGGGGAGCGAACGGG
This 253-nucleotide ribosomal RNA is filed under the name uncultured bacterium. RNAcentral's name for it is "partial 16S ribosomal RNA". It matches the Rfam family "Bacterial small subunit ribosomal RNA", at positions 524 to 776 of the family's 1533-position model. The record is from RNAcentral.